This is a non-coding RNA of Apiotrichum porosum, 126 nucleotides long. The record is from the annotation of a RefSeq genome assembly. Lineage: Eukaryota; Fungi; Basidiomycota; Tremellomycetes; Trichosporonales; Trichosporonaceae.
AGUCCGAUCGUAUAACGGUCAGUACACAAGAUUUUGAAAGAGAAGGACUGCUCGACUGCCUCAUUGGCCAGUCGACCUCGUGUUCACUUCGUUCUUGUAAUCUGGGUUCGAUUCCCAGUCGGACUG